Long non-coding RNA from Oncorhynchus tshawytscha (Chinook salmon), 1073 nucleotides. The record is from Ensembl. NCBI's taxonomy places the organism in Eukaryota, Metazoa, Chordata, Actinopteri, Salmoniformes, Salmonidae.
AGACGAGGCUGGGAGUUAAUUAACGUGGUGUCGGAGAAACAGGCAUAAUAGUACACCACUGUAAAAAAGACUUGACAUUGAGAUGGACGGAUAAGUCAUUAAUUGGUUUUCUUAUUGGUACAAUGGGCUGCAUGCGGCAGAAGAGAAGAGAGGAAGGUCAAGGCUUUGACUUUGACAGGGACCACAACUAUAUUAUGCGUCCUAGCAGCCAGGAUUGGGUUGGCUUGUGUGUGUGGAGGAACAUGAAAAGUUAAUGGCAGAUUAGGCUGUGAAACAAAGUAAUUACACCGAAAGAGGUGUAGGUGAUGACAGACACAGAUAAUGCUUCAUGGCAGUAAUGAUAAGGAGCCUCCACUCGUAUCCCAUCAGAAAAAACCCCCACAGCAAACCCAAAUGACUGCAGUCUUAUCAGCGAUCUCACAAUUAAUGCGACUCCAUUUUGAAGUAAUGCGUGCCUUUUCAUCCACAAAUGGAUUAGAGAUUUCAAGCCUCUUAAUAUUGAUUUAUUUGUAUACUUUGUCCUCAGAAGGAUAUUACUACCCGCAUAUCAUCAGCAAAAUGCUUUGCAAAUGUUACACUGAUAUGGUGAUAGGGUACUAAGAAUUGUGAGUGAGUUCAAAUAUUGAUUCAGUAUAUUUUAUGUUAUGUGAGGGUUGAAGAUAGGUUUUGCAUUUGUCAUUUUACUGUUUGGAGACCUGUUUGGUAUUGGUCUGUGGGUGCGCGCAUUCGCCCGUCACUUUUGCGGGGGAGUGUGUGAAUUGGUGUGUGUGUGAUGGUGUGUGUGUGUGUGAGAGAGAGAGAGAGAGAGAGUUAAAGUAUAUGUGUGCUUGACCUGUGGUCUGCUAUCUGAUCAGUCCUUCCGGCUGUAAAACUUUGUCUUAUCUCUUUUUUUAUAGAAUUCACAUGAAAGUCCCCAUACCAGAACAUUCUCAGAAAUAAACCAGAGUGAAAACCUUUAACCUUUUACCUCAAAUUCAAAUCAUCAACAAUUGAACCUCAUGAUAGUUAUGGACAUACUGUCACGUCCUGACCAUAGAGAGCCCUUGUUUCUCUAUGGUGGAGUAGGUCAGGGC